Non-coding RNA from Chiloscyllium plagiosum (whitespotted bambooshark), 139 nucleotides. Lineage: Eukaryota; Metazoa; Chordata; Chondrichthyes; Orectolobiformes; Hemiscylliidae. The record is from RefSeq and is a predicted model, not a curated record.
GGAAGUCGGAAUCUGCUAAGGAGUGUGUAACAACUCAUCUGCCGAAUCAACUAGCCCUGAAAAUGGAUGGCGCUGGAGCGUCGGGCCCAUACCUGGCCGUCGCUGGCAAUGCAGAGCCCGCGACUGCCGGAUAUGGGCC